This 1153-nucleotide long non-coding RNA is filed under the name Gallus gallus (chicken). Its description in RNAcentral is "lncRNA (ENSGALG00010009140.1)". Lineage: Eukaryota; Metazoa; Chordata; Aves; Galliformes; Phasianidae. The record is from RNAcentral.
GGCUGUUGCAACUUCACAUAUGGUGCUCUGCUUGACCACUUGCUCUGCAAGUUCUGCGAGAAGGCUGCAUUUGUUUCAGACCUGCCAGAGUGUCUGGGACAGCAGUCCUACAAACAACUCCUUGUUUUCCCGUUUCCUUGACCCUAUUGCCAGGCCAAGGCAAAGGGUCUGCCAUGGGCGGCUGCAUGUAAUUUCAUAGGCUGUGCAUCUGAAGUUGACCUCUGCUAUCUGUUUCCUUGUCAUCUCAAACAAGGGAUAAUGCUCUCCUGGGAACAGUUUCACCUCGAAGAGACAGGCAGCUCCUCAAAACAAUAUGGUUAAUCUUCAAGAAUUUGUCUGCCAGCUGUCUUCCAGGAAGCAGAAUCAAGGAAUGGCCUGGUUAUCAAGGGUGGCUGGCUGGAGACCUCCUCUGCCUUCUCCUCUACCAUUGUCACUCUUGCUAUGAUUUACUUAAGGUAUGUUCUGAACCAGUGGAACAAAUGUUCUGUGCUCUCAAAGGCAAAAACUGCCUUGGAAACCAAAGUCAAACCCAAAGAAGGGAAGUGAUGGCCACUCAUUUUGUUACAAACCUCCACCUCAUUUCUGGAGUCCUGUCUGAGAUUUUCAAAUAUAUGGACUUUACAGGACAAAACAGAGGGGAAUGGCAGAGAGGAACAGCUGAGAACAAGGACUGGCAUUGUUCAUUGCUGCGAGAUCUACGCCUUGGACUCAGAAUCACUGGCCAUAUUUUAUCUGGAGCCACACGCAGGAACAUUGUUCUGUACCACACUUCCGACUCAGCCCGAACAUUGCCUUCCUGUGGACACUGCAGAGCUUCAGUGGGCCUGAAGCUUUGCUGGAUGAAAGUUACACAACAGGAAACAAACAAGAAAUGGAGCCAAAUGCAACAAACAAACCCCCAGCUGAAGGGAACAAGAAGAAAGAAAGACAGAGAGUGACUUCAGCUCUGUAAAUCUUUCCAGUCAGUUGUUCUGAUCUUCUAAAUAGCGUUCCCUGAAACUGUCACCUGGUUGAAGUAGCAGUUGCUUCUUGGAUACCUAGUCAAGGUUCCCAGUUUUGUAACAUUGAUUAUAGAGCUUUGUAAGAAUAGAGAAGUACAGUGGAGAACCCUAUGUUGUGAGGGAACCGCAUACUUUCCUACUGGUAUUGUCAU